This 231-nucleotide long non-coding RNA is filed under the name Elaeis guineensis (African oil palm). Its description in RNAcentral is "long non-coding RNA (EGUI_LNC045818)". The record is from RNAcentral. Lineage: Eukaryota; Viridiplantae; Streptophyta; Magnoliopsida; Arecales; Arecaceae.
GCACUCACUACUUGCUCAUUUAGGUUCACAUUAACGACAACAUGCAAGUGAUAAAGACUUUCAAUCAAAAGAUCAAAUGCAACUAAUUUAUUUCAUAAAUAAAUAGAACAAUAGUCUUUAUUAAAUUAAAAAUAAAUCCAUCCCGUGCUAGUACAGAAAUCAAAAUCAAAUUUCGACUAGCUACAGGAACAAAAUAACAGUCUUUUAAAUCUAAUCUAAAAUCUGAUGAUA